RNAcentral lists this ribosomal RNA (234 nucleotides) under uncultured bacterium. Its description in RNAcentral is "partial 16S ribosomal RNA". It matches the Rfam family "Bacterial small subunit ribosomal RNA", at positions 103 to 334 of the family's 1533-position model. The record is from RNAcentral.
CGGGUAGCGGAACACGUACGCAACCUUCCUUUAACUGGAGAAUAGCCCCUCGAAAGAGGGAUUAAUACUCCGUAACAUAUUUUUAAGGCAUCUUAUAAAUAUUAUAGUCUUCGGGCGGUUAAAGAUGGGCGUGCGCCUGAUUAGAUAGUUGGUGAGGUAGCGGCUCACCAAGUCUGCGAUCAGUAACUGGUGUGAGAGCACGACCAGUCACACGGGCACUGAGACACGGGCCCG